Camellia sinensis is the source of this 292-nucleotide non-coding RNA. Lineage: Eukaryota; Viridiplantae; Streptophyta; Magnoliopsida; Ericales; Theaceae. The record is from RefSeq and is a predicted model, not a curated record.
AGGAUGAUACUGCGUUUGAAAAGCAAAGUGCCCUUUUUGCUCUUGCUGUUUCAGAUAUAAUGCUAAUCAAUAUGUCAUGAUGCGAUUAUUUAGUCCACGUAAAACAACAUUAAUGUUUGUAAUACGAGACAAAACAAGGACGCCGUUGGAAAACUUGGAACCUGUUUUGAGGGAAGAUAUUCAGAAGGUAAUGUUGGAACCUAUUUUGAGGGAAGAUAUUCAGAAGGUAAUGUUCUUGGCUUUUGAUACAGAGGCUACUGGAGAGAUGCGAUGGUGUUUCAAGCAAGGAACA